This 1466-nucleotide ribosomal RNA is filed under the name uncultured Lactococcus sp. RNAcentral's name for it is "bacterial SSU rRNA". It matches the Rfam family "Bacterial small subunit ribosomal RNA". The record is from RNAcentral. Lineage: Bacteria; Bacillati; Bacillota; Bacilli; Lactobacillales; Streptococcaceae.
GACGAACGCUGGCGGCGUGCCUAAUACAUGCAAGUUGAGCGCUGAAGGAAGGUACUUGUACCGACUGGAUGAGCAGCGAACGGGUGAGUAACGCGUGGGGAAUCUGCCUUUGAGCGGGGGACAACAUUUGGAAACGAAUGCUAAUACCGCAUAAAAACUUUAAACACAUGUUUUAAGUUUGAAAGAUGCAAUUGCAUCACUCAAAGAUGAUCCCGCGUUGUAUUAGCUAGUUGGUGAGGUAAAGGCUCACCAAGGCGAUGAUACAUAGCCGACCUGAGAGGGUGAUCGGCCACAUUGGGACUGAGACACGGCCCAAACUCCUACGGGAGGCAGCAGUAGGGAAUCUUCGGCAAUGGACGAAAGUCUGACCGAGCAACGUCGCGUGAGUGAAGAAGGUUUUCGGAUCGUAAAACUCUGUUGGUAGAGAAGAACGUUGGUGAGAGUGGAAAGCUCAUCAAGUGACGGUAACUACCCAGAAAGGGACGGCUAACUACGUGCCAGCAGCCGCGGUAAUACGUAGGUCCCGAGCGUUGUCCGGAUUUAUUGGGCGUAAAGCGGGCGCAGGUGGUUUAUUAAGUCUGGUGUAAAAGGCAGUGGCUUAACCAUUGUAUGCAUUGGAAACUGGUAGACUUGAGUGCAGGAGAGGAGAGUGGAAUUCCAUGUGUAGCGGUGAAAUGCGUAGAUAUAUGGAGGAACACCGGUGGCGAAAGCGCUCUCUGGCCUGUAACUGACACUGAGCUCGAAAGCGUGGGGGAGCAAACAGGAUUAGAUACCUGGUAGUCACGCCGUAAACGAUGAGUGCUAGAUGUAGGGAGCUAUAAGUUCUCUGUAUCGCAGCUAACGCAAUAAGCACUCCGCCUGGGGAGUACGACCGCAAGGUUGAAACUCAAAGGAAUUGACGGGGGCCCGCACAAGCGGUGGAGCGUGUGGUUUAAUUCGAAGCAACGCGAAGAACCUUACCAGGUCUUGACAUACUCGUGCUAUUCCUAGAGAUAGGAAGUUCCUUCGGGACACGGGAUACAGGUGGUGCAUGGUUGUCGUCAGCUCGUGUCGUGAGAUGUUGGGUUAAGUCCCGCAACGAGCGCAACCCCUAUUGUUAGUUGCCAUCAUUAAGUUGGGCACUCUAACGAGACUGCCGGUGAUAAACCGGAGGAAGGUGGGGAUGACGUCAAAUCAUCAUGCCCCUUAUGACCUGGGCUACACACGUGCUACAAUGGAUGGUACAACGAGUCGCGAGACAGUGAUGUUUAGCUAAUCUCUUAAAACCAUUCUCAGUUCGGAUUGUAGGCUGCAACUCGCCUACAUGAAGUCGGAAUCGCUAGUAAUCGCGGAUCAGCACGCCGCGGUGAAUACGUUCCCGGGCCUUGUACACACCGCCCGUCACACCACGGGAGUUGGGAGUACCCGAAGUAGGUUGCCUAACCGCAAGGAGGGCGCUUCCUAAGGUAAGACCGAUGACUGGGGUG